AGCACUUAAGACUUUAAAUUGCAUUUACUUUCUCGUUUUGCGCAUAUGCACCCAUAUACACAUGCGCAUGCGCUCACAUAUACAGAUGCGCACGCGCACACAUAUACACAUGCGCAUGCGCACACUUGAAAGUCGGAAGAAUGACUUUCGAAAGUCAGUUCUCUCUUUCCUUCCAGCAUGUAUUGAACUCGCUUGACCUGCACUGGACUCCGAAUGCCUCCACAGUGCACUCUGCCCUCUGCUCUGGGUAACUAUUGGCUUGAAUACUACACCACCAUAGCAACAGCAGCGGCCAAAACUGUAGGGAUACAAACAAGUUGGAAGUGAGGAGAGCCGGUCAGAUUCCGAGCAGAUUAGCCAUCAGUGCCAACAGCCCACAUUCAAUGUCUUCCCUUGGCUCCUGCAAAUGAAGGCUGAAACCUACUUUCAGGGUCACAUAUCCCUCCACCCACCCACCCCCACCAGGCACUAGGAUAUCAGAAUGAUUGACAACUGAAUUCACUAGGGUAGGUUUCAACCACUGUAUUAAGCCCAGAUGCCAGGACUAUGAGAAAAGAGAACAAAAAUGUCCAGUGGGAUCCAUCUCAACCCGACAGUUUUGGAGAAAACACGGAAAUCUACCUGCUAGCUGCAUAGCAGAGACUACACUUCAUCCUGGGCUUUGGGUUGCGUGUAGCCUGUGGAUGUCUCUCAACAGCUGAAGGUAGAAAGGCCGUGAAGAAGUAGUGGCACCACGCUCGUCCUGUGAGGUGGUGCCUAGAAAACGUCGGAAAGUUCUCUCUACCUUUUUUGAAGUGGAUUUCCCGUCUUCCAGUUUCUCCAGUUAAGCCAUUUGGAGACUUGGUUUGCCCAAACAUACUCUUUAGCCUUUCGUUUCAAUCAGUCUACUCACUUUUAUAACCCACACAAUGCUUGGAAAGACAGAGAACAAGGCAGGUUUAAAGAAAUACUUGCUUUGUGGGUUUGUAUUAAGAGUAUUCCGCCACUUUGAGGACCCCACCAAGCAGGCCUGCUAUACAAUGUCCCUUUUAACAAAGAACUUGCUCAAAAUCUAGACCUAGUGGAGGCCAGGGCUUCGAUUUGAACCCAGUCCGUACAACUCUAGGAGGCCUCUACUCUUCCUGUUGCCCCUGCCCCUGGAUGGAUCCGAUUUCAAGUCCAGAACAGCAGCAGACAUGACAUAGACAUCAUUUAGAGGCAACAUCUUUAGGCUACAAAGUGGCUUAAAUAACAAGUAUUUUAAAACAAAGGACUGUGUCUGAACACCACACUGAGGUGUGGUGACUGUAAGAGUACCAUUGUCCUUCUAACAGGUCCUAAUGGAUGGGGAAGCUCGGGAGACUGAAGGAGGUGGGGAGGCUUCGCUGGGAUGGUAGGGCAGGCAGAUGCCAAGGCCAGGGAUACUCCCGACAGUGUUUGUCACGCUCAACAUUUUGCCAAGGGCAAGUUUCACUGGUGCCAACCAAGGCGUUCAAGUUCAGAAUUUUUAACAAGUAUUCUUAUGAGACGGACUUGAUAAAUUCCCCCAAUACUGAUACCACAAGACAAAGAGAAAUGAAGGCCGUUUUUGCUCAAGACACACCACUGACAAGACAUGGAAACAGUCUUACUUUGCCUCCUGGCUUCUCAAUGAGAGGAUUCGAAAGGCACAUGGUGGCCAAACUGUAGUACACCGGUUUCCAUUGCUGCUCCUGCAGAGGACAGAAGACAGAGGAGACAGAGAAGAGAUUUCAGGCUUGGAUUCUUCCCCACAGAGUGGAACCCUCUCCCUGCCAUUCAAAAACUCGCCUCAAGCACUAAACGUAAUGGGUGUCAUUGAAAUACCUGAGCCAGCGUUUUUUUUCCACAGGGCUCCUUCAGGCUGUUGUCGGUGCAAAUCCAUUUAACCUUUGCACUGGCACAAGUUAUAAAACCACUUACUCUGUGGGGGAAGAAUUCGGAGAUACAGGCUGACAGAAAUUCAGAACAUUUCUGCUUUAUCUGUUAAGGGACAUUUCUAGGACGAAGGUCAGAGCAUAAGACUCCAGACUCAUCUCGUGGAAAAACGGCACGGGGAAAUCUCUGACUUACUUAUGUGUUUUUAUUCCAGUGUGGCAGAAUUUCUGAAACUCUUGACUCGUUGGUCAGAAUUCACUGAAGACCCCAUCCCACCCCCGCUUGACGUUUUGAGCCCGAGUGCCAACUGUUUUUAACAAUUAUCCUAAAGCUCAAGCCACAUUGUUUGAUGUGAUUGCCAUAAGCCCCCAAUAGCUUUACUAUCACUAUUAUUAUAUGGUCACUCAUGGUUCUUACUACCUUUUCUCCACAUAUCUGCCUAGGAAGAUAGUGAAGAGAUCCCACCCAUCCUGUUCAAAUUCCCAAGGAAGCGCUGGCUGCCACAGGGGAGAGCAGAGUGAGUUCUCCCUCCACAGGUCCUACUCUGCCAUAUUGUAAGAGAGCAUUCCAUUGGGAAUGUGGGCUGUCUAGGACGAGACUGGAGCCGAGGUUUUCUCGUGUCUUUCAGCAUCUAGCCCUGGCCUUCCACAGCGUAGGUGUGCUUUCUCCUCCUAGGGAAACUUUCUUUUAGUCAACUGAAACCUUUCAUGUCUUUAUGAAUUUCCACAAUCUCCCCUUAGAUCUGUCUCCAACCCCAACUCCAGUUUCUCACUACAGGAAUUUAUUAGCCUCUCUUGGCAUUGUUAGAAAGGACAUCAAGAGACUUGUUAAUGACAAAUAAAAAAGAGAGACCCAAACGUAUCGGCACACACCAUAAAAAUAAAAAUGAAUGUUAAUAAUAAAUCAGCAAAUAUUGACACAUCUCCA
Long non-coding RNA from Rattus norvegicus (Norway rat), 2802 nucleotides. RefSeq lists it as uncharacterized. The record is from RefSeq and is a predicted model, not a curated record. Lineage: Eukaryota; Metazoa; Chordata; Mammalia; Rodentia; Muridae.